RNAcentral lists this ribosomal RNA (497 nucleotides) under uncultured bacterium. RNAcentral describes it as "partial 16S ribosomal RNA". It matches the Rfam family "Bacterial small subunit ribosomal RNA", at positions 28 to 507 of the family's 1533-position model. The record is from RNAcentral.
GAUGAACGCUGGCGGCGUGCCUAAUACAUGCAAGUCGAGCGAACAGACGAGGAGCUUGCUCCUCUGACGUUAGCGGCGGACGGGUGAGUAACACGUGGAUAACCUACCUAUAAGACUGGGAUAACUUCGGGAAACCGGAGCUAAUACCGGAUAAUAUAUUGAACCGCAUGGUUCAAUAGUGAAAGACGGUUUUGCUGUCACUUAUAGAUGGAUCCGCGCCGCAUUAGUUAGUUGGUAAGGUAACGGCCUACCAAGGCAACGAUGCGUAGCCGACCUGAGAGGGUGAUCGGCCACACUGGAACUGGGACACGGUCCAGACUCCUACGGGAGGCAGCAGUAGGGAAUCUUCCGCAAUGGGCGAAAGCCUGACGGAGCAACGCCGCGUGAGUGAUGAAGGUCUUCGGAUCGUAAAACUCUGUUAUUAGGGAAGAACAAAUGUGUAAGUAACUGUGCACGUCUUGACGGUACCUAAUCAGAAAGCCACGGCUAACUACGUG